Molecule: ribosomal RNA, 301 nt
Filed under: uncultured bacterium
Lineage: Bacteria
Description: partial 16S ribosomal RNA
Rfam family: Bacterial small subunit ribosomal RNA
Source: RNAcentral
CAGCCGCCGCGGUAAUACGUAGGUGGCAAGCGUUGUCCGGAAUUAUUGGGCGUAAAGGGCUCGCAGGCGGUUUCUUAAGUCUGAUGUGAAAGCCCCCGGCUCAACCGGGGAGGGUCAUUGGAAACUGGGAAACUUGAGUGCAGAGGAGGAGAGUGGAAUUCCACGUGUAGCGGUGAAAUGCGUAGAGAUGUGGAGGAACACCAGUGGCGAAGGCGACUCUCUGGUCUGUAACUGACGCUGAGGAGCGAAAGCGUGGGGAGCGAACAGGAUUAGAUACCCCUGUAGUCCCUGUCUCUUAUAC